Molecule: long non-coding RNA, 1187 nt
Organism: Cygnus olor (mute swan)
Lineage: Eukaryota; Metazoa; Chordata; Aves; Anseriformes; Anatidae
Exons: 2
Source: RefSeq, a predicted model, not a curated record
AAGGGCCGGGAGCCGGGCCCGCGCCGCGGGCUGGGGGUGAGGGCGGCGGCGGCGUUUCCGUCAGGGCGUCCGCGGCUUCCCCUCAGGCAGCGCGGUCCUGCUGCCCUCCAACGCUGACAAUGCCUCCGGAAUUAAUGUUUCCCUUUUUGUAGGAACCGCUGGGUAUUGCUUUUGACUUAGCAAUGUGUCUGGAAACGAGUGAAAAAGAGAAUGUCUGACCUAGCAGGUUUCUGCAGCCUCUCCAGGGUGUGUUCUCAAGCGAAGUAUCACCCCCAAUGUAUUUAUCUGGGGCAAGGCAUGAUAAUCUCAUGGUUUAAAGAGGUUAGAAGAACACUGAAUGUUUCAGAAGUUCCUCACGGUGUCUUUCUGAAAUAUUUGGAACAUAUGCUUAAAUAAUUGAGAUAGCGCCUCAAUUUCCCAAAUCAAAAUGGUCUGAAGAAAUGAGAAGGGAUUAUGUUUGGCUAGCACAAAUUUAAUCUUCAAAGAUUUGCUCAGGAUGGAUGUGGACAAAGUCUCUUAUCUCUCUUUUUCCAGCGUCACCUAGGCUCAGCCUUUCCGAGGUGUAGCAGCACACAAAAGCCUCUGCAGCUUCUGAAGGCAGCAGACUGAGCAGUCCCUGGCACCCCUUGGAUGUUGUUGAACACUCAAGUUGUAGAGAGCUCAAGGCUAUAAACAAACCAGGCUACUAUAAGCAUACUUAUUGGCCAGAAGUGAGGUGCAUGCUUCCUACCUUUGUUAAACUGCAGCAUAUUGUCUAAAUAGUUCAAACAUAUUUGUAUGCAGUUGUUACAGGUGGCAUGCAAAUGUUUGGAAAUUGGUCAGGUAUUUGGUGAAGCGUAAGGAGUAUACAGCCUAAUGCAGGGAAAUACUCAAAGCAGAAUUUCCUGGUGCAAUCCUUGCCUUGUCCUUUGCACCCACAGCAUUUACAUAAAUUGAUUGAACCACUCCUGCAACAGCAAAUCACCACUGCAAGGAUGAGCAAUAGUUCUCUGUAUUAGUCCUGCAUGGUUUGCAAAUACCAGUAUCAGGAGGAUGUGCCCGUCAGGGAAUUGUGGAGAGGUGUAUAGGACCUCUUCAGGAUAGCUGUAGUGAGAUUUAAAUUAUCUUGGGUAAUCUAAUUUAGAGGUAAUCUUUCUUGUGGCUCCACUGCAGACAAGUUAUAUGAGCAAGGAGUAAAACCGAGCAUA